UGGUCGGACAUCAGGAGGUUAGUGCAAUUGCAUAAGCUAGCUUGACUGCGAGCGUGACGGCGCGAGCAGGUGCGAAAGCAGGUCAUAGUGAUCCGGUGGUUCUGAAUGGAAGGGCCAUCGCUCAACGGAUAAAAGGUACUCCGGGGAUAACAGGCUGAUACCGCCCAAGAGUUCAUAUCGACGGCGGUGUUUGGCACCUCGAUGUCGGCUCAUCACAUCCUGGGGCUGAAGUAGGUCCCAAGGGUAUGGCUGUUCGCCAUUUAAAGUGGUACGCGAGCUGGGUUUAGAACGUCGUGAGACAGUUCGGUCCCUAUCUGCCGUGGGCGCUGGAGAAUUGAGGGGGGCUGCUCCUAGUACGAGAGGACCGGAGUGGACGCAUCACUGGUGUUCGGGUUGUCAUGCCAAUGGCACUGCCCGGUAGCUAAAUGCGGAAGAGAUAAGUGCUGAAAGCAUCUAAGCACGAAACUUGCCCCGAGAUGAGUUCUCCCUGAGACUAUAAGUCUCCUGAAGGAACGUUGAAGACGACGACGUUGAUAGGCCGGGUGUGUAAGCGCAGCGAUGCGUUGAGCUAACCGGUACUAAUGAACCGUGAGGCUUAACCUUACAACGCCGAAG
This 615-nucleotide ribosomal RNA is filed under the name Klebsiella pneumoniae. RNAcentral's name for it is "partial 23S ribosomal RNA". It matches the Rfam family "Bacterial large subunit ribosomal RNA", at positions 2328 to 2925 of the family's 2925-position model. Lineage: Bacteria; Pseudomonadati; Pseudomonadota; Gammaproteobacteria; Enterobacterales; Enterobacteriaceae. The record is from RNAcentral.